Non-coding RNA from Coturnix japonica (Japanese quail), 2006 nucleotides. The record is from RefSeq and is a predicted model, not a curated record. NCBI's taxonomy places the organism in Eukaryota, Metazoa, Chordata, Aves, Galliformes, Phasianidae.
UCUCCAACCUUUGUGCUUCUAUGAUUCUAUGAAACAAAGGAGAAGCAAUUCCCAUUGGAGCAGCUCUAGCCCAAGUUGCAGCAGAGAGGCUGACAAUUCAGGCCCUUUUAAGGUCAUUGCCGUUAAAUUAGUCACUUGGAAACAGUAUCGGCUUGUGAGACAAUCUUUAUAGUAGAUGCAGAGCUGACUACAAUGAAUCCCAAUGCAUUUAAAUAUCUCCAGUAUAGGUAAAAUCUGCAGGUAUACUUUCUUCAAGGAAUACUGAAAACGUAUCAGCUAUAACAAGACUAAUACCUAAUAUCUGUAAGUUCCCACCAGAAUAAGACCUUGUCUAAGAUCACUUAAUCACUGUUUCAUUAAUGAUGAAACAUUUAUGUAUACAUUUUAAGCUAUGUAUAUCCUUUCAUUCUGGACUUCUCAGGAACAAAGACAAAUAAUUUCCAUGUGCUGUAAUGCUUAAGUUUGACUAUAUAUUGCAUAAGAUGCACAUGUAUACUCAAAGCAAACUGAAUUACAACUCCGCUGUUUAGUUUUUCAAAUAGAAAGUCAAAGAGCUUGAAAUAGCUAGCACAUCAGUGAUUGAAUCACUUAUCCAUCAUAGUCUGUCUGUGAGAGUACCUGUUGUUCAGCUUCCAUAGAAUAAUUAUUCAAAAUCGUAUUUGACUACAUUUCAUAGAAUAAUCUUUAAAAAUCCUAUCUGAUUAUGUUCUUCAUUAAGUCACUAUUACAAUUUGUGUGAAUACAUACAAGCAGAUACAAAGCUAUGUAAAUAUAGACAUUUUUUGGUUCUUGUCUAUUUUUUAUUCCCCCAUGUGACAAAAGUUGCUAAAGUACAUGUGGUAUUCAAAGCAAUCUGUUUUUGAACUAGAAACUCCACAGGCAUUGGGUCAUUGCUGUAGAUGAAGGUCUUCCAUCAUCGUUUUAUACUAUAGUUGUUUUACUUGAAGAUAAAAUAACAGGGAAUUAAUACCAAACAAAGAGGGUGCUGUCAUUUUAUGUGUGGAGUUUUGCACUGAUUUAGUAUGUGAAUAUUUGUGGUGAUUAGUAUUUACAAUUGUAAUGAGUGUCUACUCUAAAACUUCCAUUUUGAUUACUGAAGGACAGGUAAUGACUAAUGAAUAUAUCACAUAAGAUUAUAUUUUCAAAUAAAGGAUAUUCAUGUUCUUUCCAGUAGUUCUAAAAUGCUCAUAUUGGUUCUUCCAUGUGAAAUCAUUACCUGCAAAAUGAAAUUACAGUUCUUUCUUUAGUUCAGUGUGUCCAGGAUUUUUUCUUACAUUCCUGAUAGUGCUGACUGCACCCAUCAAAGGCAGAGGCAAAGAAAUGGAACUGACAAUUUUUUUUAUUUUUAUUUUUUUUUCCUAAGGAAAAUCAGAAGUCUCUUCACAGUCUUAUUCUUUUUUCCCUAUCGUGUAGAAUUUCCCUGUCCUUGUGAGAUAGUUUAUUCCUUAUGUCUUAGUAUCAGAUUUCCAAAAUUCCAGCACUGACCUCGAUGUCAUUCCCCCACAACAGAAUAUCUUGGCUACGUGAAGAAAAUCUUGAUCACAGUUUCUGAGAGAUGUUAUACUGAAAGGUGGUAUGUUUCUCUUUGUUGCACGAUGGCAUUUUGUUGUGUGAAAAACAAUUAAAGCUGGAAUACAGUUCUAUUAAACACAAUGAGAGGUUGACUACCUAAUGUUCUGGGCCUUGUGCAUUCAUCUGUCUGUGUGAUAAAUGGGUGUAAACUGUUAUUAUUCUAACUUGUUAGCAUGGUAGAUCCACUAUGCAGAAUCUUAAGACACUGAAACAGGAACAGGGCCAAGGGUGAUUGCUUGCUGAACCGCUUAAAUAAAACAUUAACAAAUAUAAGAAUAAAAACAAAGUCAGAUUGUUUCUCCUGCUCCACUGAUAUAGAGUGCAUCCCCAGGUAAGCAACUGGCAUUGUAAAAGAGAGCUGGAGAGUCUUGAAGUUUUAAGACAAUACAGCUUCCCAAUGCAUAUUGAAAUGAAAUCAUAAUAGUUAAAACAAA